CCGAAACUUGCUGUAAACAUCUCAGCCGGUAUCUGAUGCGUGCUUGGAUCUAAAAACGCAAAAAUCGGGCCUCCAUCCCGACUUCUGUUGCAACGCCGCCCGUCAGCACCGGAAGUCUGCCACUGGGACCACCCUACCGGCUUGGCUGACGUCCCCAGGGCCAGUGCUGUUCCGGAAACAUGCGAGGAGCAAUAAAUACUCCCCAAUGGUUGAGAGGGUUCGCAUGAGAGAAUUCUGAAUGGUUGCAUCACCGUCUGGUAUGGAGGAGUAACUGCACAGGAUCGGAAAAAGCUGCAGAAAGCUGUGAACUCGGCCAGAUCCAUCAUGGGCACUGGCCUCCCCAGCAUCCAGGGCACUUCCAAAAGUAAUGCCUCAAGAAGACAACAUCCAUAAAUGAAGGACCCAAUCACCCAGGACAUGCUCUCUGCCAUUUGUCUGUGGUCCAGGUAACGCUGUGCAAACCAGUGGACUAGUUUCUGUUACAGACAUUUGAAAGUGGUUAGUGUAACUCUUUAUAAUUUCAGCAAUUCAGGUUCA
Hypanus sabinus (Atlantic stingray) is the source of this 537-nucleotide long non-coding RNA. RefSeq lists it as uncharacterized. The transcript has 3 exons. Lineage: Eukaryota; Metazoa; Chordata; Chondrichthyes; Myliobatiformes; Dasyatidae. The record is from RefSeq and is a predicted model, not a curated record.